AAUAUUGGACAAUGGGGGCAACCCUGAUCCAGCCAUGACGCGUGUGUGAAGAAGGUCUUCGGAUUGUAAAGCACUUUAAGUUGGGAGGCAGGGCUUUAGGCUACUACUCUGUAGAAUUGACGUUACCAACAGAAUAAGCACCGGCUAACUCUGUGCGUGCAGCCGCUGUAAUACAGAGUGUGCAAGCGUUAAUCGGAAUUACUGGGCGUAAAGCGCGCGUAGGUGGUUCAGUAAGAUGGGAGUGAAAUCCCCGGGCUUAACCUGGGAACUGCUUUCAUAACUGCUGAGCUAGAGUACGGUAGAGGGUAGUGGAAUUUCCUGUGUAGCGGUGAAAUGCGUAGAUAUAGGAAGGAACACCAGUGGCGAAGGCGACUACCUGGACUGAUACUGACACUGAGGUGCGAAAGCGUGGGGAGCAAAC
This 421-nucleotide ribosomal RNA is filed under the name uncultured bacterium. RNAcentral's name for it is "partial 16S ribosomal RNA". It matches the Rfam family "Bacterial small subunit ribosomal RNA", at positions 360 to 773 of the family's 1533-position model. The record is from RNAcentral.